RNAcentral lists this ribosomal RNA (425 nucleotides) under uncultured bacterium. RNAcentral's name for it is "partial 16S ribosomal RNA". It matches the Rfam family "Bacterial small subunit ribosomal RNA", at positions 354 to 796 of the family's 1533-position model. The record is from RNAcentral.
GUGGGGAAUAUUGGACAAUGGGCGAAAGCCUGAUCCAGCCAUGCCGCGUGAGUGAUGAAGGCCUUAGGGUUGUAAAGCUCUUUCAGUAGGGAAGAUAAUGACGGUACCUACAGAAGAAGCCCCGGCUAACUUCGUGCCAGCAGCCGCGGUAAUACGAAGGGGGCUAGCGUUGUUCGGAUUUACUGGGCGUAAAGCGCACGUAGGCGGAUUGGUCAGUUAGAGGUGAAAUCCUGGAGCUCAACUCCAGAACUGCCUUUAAUACUGCCAGUCUAGAGUCCAGAAGAGGUGAGUGGAACUCCUAGUGUAGAGGUGGAAUUCGUAGAUAUUAGGAAGAACACCAGUGGCGAAGGCGGCUCACUGGUCUGGUACUGACGCUGAGGUGCGAAAGCGUGUGGAGCAAACAGGAUUAGAUACCCGUGUAGUCC